UCCUACGGGAGGCAGCAGUGGGGAAUAUUGCACAAUGGGCGCAAGCCUGAUGCAGCGACGCCGCGUGAGGGAUGACGGCCUUCGGGUUGUAAACCUCUUUCAGUACAGAACAAGGCCUUCGGGUUGAGGGUAUGUGCAGAAGAAGCGCCGGCUAACUACGUGCCAGCAGCCGCGGUAAUACGUAGGGCGCGAGCGUUGUCCGGAAUUAUUGGGCGUAAAGAGCUCGUAGGCGGUUUGUCGCGUCUGCCGUGAAAUCCGCUGGCUUAACGGGGGGCGUGCGGUGGGUACGGGCAGACUGGAGUGCGGUAGGGGAGACUGGAAUUCCUGGUGUAGCGGUGGAAUGCGCAGAUAUCAGGAGGAACACCGGUGGCGAAGGCGGGUCUCUGGGCCGUUACUGACGCUGAGGAGCGAAAGCAUGGGGAGCGAACAGGAUUAGAUACCCCAGUAGUCG
This 451-nucleotide ribosomal RNA is filed under the name uncultured bacterium. Its description in RNAcentral is "bacterial SSU rRNA". It matches the Rfam family "Bacterial small subunit ribosomal RNA", at positions 337 to 796 of the family's 1533-position model. The record is from RNAcentral.